RNAcentral lists this ribosomal RNA (757 nucleotides) under uncultured Ganoderma. Its description in RNAcentral is "partial 28S ribosomal RNA". It matches the Rfam family "Eukaryotic large subunit ribosomal RNA", at positions 216 to 962 of the family's 3401-position model. Lineage: Eukaryota; Fungi; Basidiomycota; Agaricomycetes; Polyporales; Polyporaceae. The record is from RNAcentral.
GAAUCCCGUCUUUGACACGGACUACCAGUGCUUUGUGAUGCGCUCUCAAAGAGUCGAGUUGUUUGGGAAUGCAGCUCAAAAUGGGUGGUGAAUUCCAUCUAAAGCUAAAUAUUGGCGAGAGACCGAUAGCGAACAAGUACCGUGAGGGAAAGAUGAAAAGCACUUUGGAAAGAGAGUUAAACAGUACGUGAAAUUGCUGAAAGGGAAACGCUUGAAGUCAGUCGCGUUGUCCGGAACUCAGCCUUGCUUUUGCUUGGUGCACUUUCCGGAUGACGGGUCAGCAUCGAUUUUGACCGUCGGAAAAGGGCUGGAGUAAUGUGGCACCUCCGGGUGUGUUAUAGACUCUGGUCGCAUACGGCGGUUGGGAUCGAGGAACGCAGCGCGCCGCAAGGCAGGGGUUCGCCCACUUUCGCGCUUAGGAUGCUGGCAUAAUGGCUUUAAACGACCCGUCUUGAAACACGGACCAAGGAGUCUAACAUACCUGCGAGUGUUUGGGUGGAAAACCCGAGCGCGUAAUGAAAGUGAAAGUUGAGACUCCUGUCGUGGGAGGCAUCGACGCCCGGACCUGACGUUCUCUGACGGAUCCGCGGUAGAGCAUGUAUGUUGGGACCCGAAAGAUGGUGAACUAUGCCUGAAUAGGGUGAAGCCAGAGGAAACUCUGGUGGAGGCUCGUAGCGAUUCUGACGUGCAAACCGAUCGUCAAAUUUGGGUAUAGGGGCGAAAGACUAAUCGAACCAUCUAGUAGCUGGUUCCUGCC